RNAcentral lists this ribosomal RNA (1372 nucleotides) under uncultured bacterium. Its description in RNAcentral is "bacterial SSU rRNA". It matches the Rfam family "Bacterial small subunit ribosomal RNA", at positions 28 to 1381 of the family's 1533-position model. The record is from RNAcentral.
GAUGAACGCUGGCUGCGUGCCUAAUACAUGCAAGUCGAGCGAACGGACGAGAAGCUUGCUUCUCUGAUGUUAGCGGCGGACGGGUGAGUAACACGUGGAUAACCUACCUAUAAGACUGGGAUAACUUCGGGAAACCGGAGCUAAUACCGGAUAAUAUUUUGAACCGCAUGGUUCAAAAGUGAAAGACGGUCUUGCUGUCACUUAUAGAUGGAUCCGCGCUGCAUUAGCUAGUUGGUAAGGUAACGGCUUACCAAGGCAACGAUGCAUAGCCGACCUGAGAGGGUGAUCGGCCACACUGGAACUGAGACACGGUCCAGACUCCUACGGGAGGCAGCAGUAGGGAAUCUUCCGCAAUGGGCGAAAGCCUGACGGAGCAACGCCGCGUGAGUGAUGAAGGUCUUCGGAUCGUAAAACUCUGUUAUUAGGGAAGAACAUAUGUGUAAGUAACUGUGCACAUCUUGACGGUACCUAAUCAGAAAGCCACGGCUAACUACGUGCCAGCAGCCGCGGUAAUACGUAGGUGGCAAGCGUUAUCCGGAAUUAUUGGGCGUAAAGCGCGCGUAGGCGGUUUUUUAAGUCUGAUGUGAAAGCCCACGGCUCAACCGUGGAGGGUCAUUGGAAACUGGAAAACUUGAGUGCAGAAGAGGAAAGUGGAAUUCCAUGUGUAGCGGUGAAAUGCGCAGAGAUAUGGAGGAACACCAGUGGCGAAGGCGACUUUCUGGUCUGUAACUGACGCUGAUGUGCGAAAGCGUGGGGAUCAAACAGGAUUAGAUACCCUGGUAGUCCACGCCGUAAACGAUGAGUGCUAAGUGUUAGGGGGUUUCCGCCCCUUAGUGCUGCAGCUAACGCAUUAAGCACUCCGCCUGGGGAGUACGACCGCAAGGUUGAAACUCAAAGGAAUUGACGGGGACCCGCACAAGCGGUGGAGCAUGUGGUUUAAUUCGAAGCAACGCGAAGAACCUUACCAAAUCUUGACAUCCUUUGACAGCUCUAGAGAUAGAGCCUUCCCCUUCGGGGGACAAAGUGACAGGUGGUGCAUGGUUGUCGUCAGCUCGUGUCGUGAGAUGUUGGGUUAAGUCCCGCAACGAGCGCAACCCUUAAGCUUAGUUGCCAUCAUUAAGUUGGGCACUCUAAGUUGACUGCCGGUGACAAACCGGAGGAAGGUGGGGAUGACGUCAAAUCAUCAUGCCCCUUAUGAUUUGGGCUACACACGUGCUACAAUGGACAAUACAAAGGGCAGCGAAACCGCGAGGUCAAGCAAAUCCCAUAAAGUUGUUCUCAGUUCGGAUUGUAGUCUGCAACUCGACUACAUGAAGCUGGAAUCGCUAGUAAUCGUAGAUCAGCAUGCUACGGUGAAUACGUUCCCGGGUCU